UAAGGGCGCACGGUGGAUGCCUUGGCACUAGAAGCCGAUGAAGGACGUUACUAACGACGAUAUGCUUUGGGGAGCUGUAAGUAAGCUUUGAUCCAGAGAUUUCCGAAUGGGGAAACCCAGCAUGAGUUAUGUCAUGUUAUCGAUAUGUGAAUACAUAGCAUAUCAGAAGGCACACCCGGAGAACUGAAACAUCUUAGUACCCGGAGGAAGAGAAAGAAAAUUCGAUUCCCUUAGUAGCGGCGAGCGAAACGGGAAGAGCCCAAACCAACAAGCUUGCUUGUUGGGGUUGUAGGACACUCUAUACGGAGUUACAAAGGACGACAUUAGACGAAUCAUCUGGAAAGAUGAAUCAAAGAAGGUAAUAAUCCUGUAGUCGAAAAUGUUGUCUCUCUUGAGUGGAUCCUGAGUACGACGGAGCACGUGAAAUUCCGUCGGAAUCUGGGAGGACCAUCUCCUAAGGCUAAAUACUCUCUAGUGACCGAUAGUGAACCAGUACCGUGAGGGAAAGGUGAAAAGCACCCCGGAAGGGGAGUGAAAUAGAACCUGAAACCGUGUGCUUACAAGUAGUCAGAGCCCGUUAAUGGGUGAUGGCGUGCCUUUUGUAGAAUGAACCGGCGAGUUACGAUUUGAUGCAAGGUUAAGCAGUAAAUGUGGAGCCGUAG
RNAcentral lists this ribosomal RNA (662 nucleotides) under Staphylococcus aureus. RNAcentral describes it as "partial 23S ribosomal RNA". It matches the Rfam family "Bacterial large subunit ribosomal RNA", at positions 12 to 671 of the family's 2925-position model. The record is from RNAcentral. Lineage: Bacteria; Bacillati; Bacillota; Bacilli; Caryophanales; Staphylococcaceae.